RNAcentral lists this unclassified non-coding RNA (346 nucleotides) under soil metagenome. RNAcentral's name for it is "partial contains 5.8S ribosomal RNA, internal transcribed spacer 2, and large subunit ribosomal RNA". The stretch from base 1 to 120 matches the Rfam family "5.8S ribosomal RNA", at positions 35 to 154 of the family's 154-position model. The record is from RNAcentral.
GAUGAAGAACGCAGCGAAAUGCGAUAAAUAAUGUGAAUUGCAGAAUUCAGUGAAUCAUCGAGUCUUUGAACGCACAUUGCGCCCCCUGGUAUUCCGGGGGGCAUGCCUGUCCGAGCGUCAUUGCUGCCCUCAAGCACGGCUUGUGUGUUGGGCCCCCGUCCCCCCCUCCCGGGGGACGGGCCCGAAAGGCAGCGGCGGCACCGCGUCCGGUCCUCGAGCGUAUGGGGCUUUGUCACCCGCUCUGUAGGCCCGGCCGGCGCCUGCCGACCACCAUCAAUCUUUUUUCAGGUUGACCUCGGAUCAGGUAGGGAUACCCGCUGAACUUAAGCAUAUCAAUAAGCGGAGG